Long non-coding RNA from Manis javanica (Malayan pangolin), 783 nucleotides. RefSeq lists it as uncharacterized. The record is from RefSeq and is a predicted model, not a curated record. Lineage: Eukaryota; Metazoa; Chordata; Mammalia; Pholidota; Manidae.
GGAGGGGGCAGGAAGAAGAAUGGAGCUUCCUCAGAGCCGGCGUGAGAGGGGCUGUUGUCCUGAGAGGGAGCGGGUGGGGCGGCCCGGUCCUGGCUCCCCUGGGGGUCCACCAGGCAUGCAAAGGGGUGGCCAAGGCUAUGAUCCCCAUUUCCCUGAUGAAGAAACUGAGGCUCAUGGCAGUUCCAGGCACCAAAAUCGAGGGCAGGUCAUGUGGAAAGCACAGCCGCGACCCCUGUCACAUCUCCUUUUUUAUUUUUUUGUAAGAAGAGAUGUUUGUUCCUGAGCCGCGUGGAGGAGGGGCCCCCGCCUCUUCACCAGCUGUAACCACGUCAGCUGCCGUGGGCACAAAGGCCGCUUUUCCCGUGUCCCCCCCUCACCCCGGAGCCCCAGCCCGAGGCUGCCAGCCGGCCCGGCACACAGGACUCAGCCCGCUGCCCAGCUUUGCAGCAAGGGACCCUCCUGAGUGCCAACUCGCAGAGCAGCAGCUGAAAACGGCUCAUUAGCCCUGAAUGGAGCCUGCAGAGCAGGGGCAGCGGGCAGGCAGGCCCUAGCAGCCGAGGACAUUGUUCCCGCCCAAUCCCUGGAGGGCCACAGAUGGGUGUAGUGCCUCCUGCCCAGCCCGGCUGGUCAGGCGCUGCCGAGAUGCUAUUUCAGAUACAUCCAGUUAAAGAAAAUAUAUUCUUAAGACUAAUCUCUCCCGUUUCUUUGUAUGUUUAAAAUGUGGCCACUCGGCAAAUUGACAUUACAUCUGUGGCUAUUCACCUUCUGUUUCAUGUUGUGCCG